GAUGAACGCUGGCGGCGUGCCUAAUAUAUGCAAUUCUAGCGAACAGACGAGGAGCUUGCUCCUCUGACGUUAGCGGCGGACGGUUGAUUAACACUUGGAUAACCUACCUAUAUGACUGGGAUAACUUCGGGACACCGGAGCUAAUACCUGCUAAUAUAUUCAACCUUAUGGUUCAAUCUUGAAAUACGGUUUUGCUGUCACUUAUAGAUGGAUCCGAUCCGCAUUAUCUAGUUGGCUAGGUAACGGCUUACCAAGGCAACGAUUCGUAGCCGACAUGAGAGGAUGAUAGGACACACUGGAACCGAGACACAGUCCAGACUCCUACGGGAGGCAGCAGUAGGGCAUCUUAAGAAAUGGGCGAAAGCAGGACGGAGCAAAGCCGCGUGAGUCAUGAUGGUCUUCGGAUCGUAAAUCUGUGUUAUGAGGGAAGAACAAAUGUGUAACUAACUAUGCACGUCUAGACGGGACCUAAGCAGAAAGCCACGGCUACCUCCGUG
Molecule: ribosomal RNA, 497 nt
Filed under: uncultured bacterium
Lineage: Bacteria
Description: partial 16S ribosomal RNA
Rfam family: Bacterial small subunit ribosomal RNA
Source: RNAcentral